UUGAAAAUGCGUUGUCUCAUGAU
Molecule: non-coding RNA, 23 nt
Filed under: Rattus norvegicus (Norway rat)
Lineage: Eukaryota; Metazoa; Chordata; Mammalia; Rodentia; Muridae
Source: RNAcentral